RNAcentral lists this long non-coding RNA (191 nucleotides) under Chinchilla lanigera (long-tailed chinchilla). RNAcentral describes it as "lncRNA (ENSCLAG00000024390.1)". The record is from RNAcentral. Lineage: Eukaryota; Metazoa; Chordata; Mammalia; Rodentia; Chinchillidae.
CCUCCGGCACGCAAGCUUGCUCAUUCUUAGGACAUCUUUGUGUUAAUAUUGUAGUGCUCCACGGAAGAAGGAGCUCCCUGUGUGACCCCCUGAUCCAGCUCCCUGCCAGGUGAUGGAUGAACGAGACUAAGAGAGGGGGCAAAGGGACCAGAAUCGGUCAGGAAUAGCCAGGAGCCACGGAAGGGAGAGAG